This is a non-coding RNA of Leptonychotes weddellii (Weddell seal), 529 nucleotides long. Lineage: Eukaryota; Metazoa; Chordata; Mammalia; Carnivora; Phocidae. The record is from RefSeq and is a predicted model, not a curated record.
GAGCCCCUCAUUCUGUCCCCAGAAGCACCACCGUUUCUAUUCCUCCCUUUUCGCCUUGGUGAGGCAGCCCAGAUCGCUGCAGCAUCUGAGCCGAUGUGCGCUCCGUGCUCACCUGGCCGCCUGCCUGCCCCACGCCCUGCCCCGCCUUCCCCUGCCAUCCCGCCUGCUCCGCUACCUGCAGCUGGAUUUUGAGGACGUGCUCUACUAGAUGUCUGUCCACUGCCUUUUGAGAGACCUGAAAGCAGAUGCCCCAGGGGGCUCCAGUCUGCGGCUCUCCGCACCCCCAACCCAGGACUGAGCUGAACUGAUUCGGGCCGAGGUGGCUCUGUCAGCAGGAGGUCCAGCUCCUCGGGCAGAUGUGGAUGCUGCCAUCCCCACCCGGGAGAGAGAGACAGACCAUUCAGCCAGGUGAUGUCUAACAGAGAGACAACUGGCACUCGUGGCAAGUGAGGCACUCCUCUUGGUGGUCUGAGGCACCCCUCCAGCCCAUCCGAUCCCUGUAUGAGCAUUAAAAAUCUGCAGGCCUGUG